This 254-nucleotide ribosomal RNA is filed under the name uncultured bacterium. RNAcentral's name for it is "partial 16S ribosomal RNA". It matches the Rfam family "Bacterial small subunit ribosomal RNA", at positions 524 to 776 of the family's 1533-position model. The record is from RNAcentral.
UACAGAGGGGGCAAGCGUUGUUCGGAAUUACUGGGCGUAAAGGGCGCGUAGGCGGCCUGUUAAGUCGGACGUGAAAUCCCUCGGCUCAACCGGGGAACUGCGUCUGAUACUGGCGGGCUUGAAUUCGGGAGAGGGAUGUGGAAUUCCAGGUGUAGCGGUGAAAUGCGUAGAUAUCUGGAGGAAUACCGGUGGCGAAGGCGGCAUCCUGGACCAUUUACUGACGCUGAGGCGCGAAAGCUAGGGGAGCAAACGGG